RNAcentral lists this transfer RNA (75 nucleotides) under Planctomycetota bacterium. Its description in RNAcentral is "tRNA-Pro". It matches the Rfam family "tRNA". Rfam says of the family: Transfer RNA (tRNA) molecules are approximately 80 nucleotides in length. Their secondary structure includes four short double-helical elements and three loops (D, anti-codon, and T loops). Lineage: Bacteria; Pseudomonadati; Planctomycetota. The record is from RNAcentral.
CGGGGUGUGGCGCAGCGGAAGCGCGCCUGGUUUGGGACCAAGAGGUCGCUGGUUCGAAUCCAGUCGCCCCGACCA